This 368-nucleotide ribosomal RNA is filed under the name uncultured eukaryote. RNAcentral describes it as "partial 18S ribosomal RNA". It matches the Rfam family "Eukaryotic small subunit ribosomal RNA", at positions 592 to 976 of the family's 1831-position model. The record is from RNAcentral.
UAAUAGCGUAUAUUAAAGUUGUUGCAGUUAAAAAGCUCGUAGUCGGAUGUCGGGCUCGGGCAGGCUGUCGGCUUCGGUCGGACGGCAGGCUCGGGUCUUUCUGCCUGAGGAUCCAUCUCAUUCACUUGGGGUGGGGACGCAGGCCGUUUACUUUGAAAAAAUUAGAGUGUUCAAAGCAGGCCUACGCUUGAAUACAUUAGCAUGGAAUAAUGGAAUAGGACUUUGGUGCUAUUUUGUUGGUUUAUGGGACCGAAGUAAUGAUUAACAGGGACAGUUGGGCCGUUUAUAUUUCGUUGUCAGAGGUGAAAUUCUUGGAUUUACGAAAGAUAAACUUCUGCGAAAGCAUUCGGCAAGGAUGUUUUCAUUGA